This 297-nucleotide ribosomal RNA is filed under the name uncultured bacterium. RNAcentral's name for it is "partial 16S ribosomal RNA". It matches the Rfam family "Bacterial small subunit ribosomal RNA", at positions 775 to 1067 of the family's 1533-position model. The record is from RNAcentral.
GGAUUAGAUACCCUGGUAGUCCACGCCGUAAACGAUGUCUACUAGCCGUUGGGAGACUUGAUCUUUUAGUGGCGCAGCUAACGCGAUAAGUAGACCGCCUGGGGAGUACGGCCGCAAGGUUAAAACUCAAAUGAAUUGACGGGGGCCCGCACAAGCGGUGGAGCAUGUGGUUUAAUUCGAAGCAACGCGAAGAACCUUACCAGCCCUUGACAUCCCGAUCGCGAAUAGUGGAGACACUUUUCUUCAGUUAGGCUGUAUCGGUGACAGGUGCUGCAUGGCUGUCGUCAGCUCGUGUUG